RNAcentral lists this ribosomal RNA (484 nucleotides) under uncultured bacterium. RNAcentral's name for it is "partial 16S ribosomal RNA". It matches the Rfam family "Bacterial small subunit ribosomal RNA", at positions 30 to 507 of the family's 1533-position model. The record is from RNAcentral.
AUUGAACGCUGGCGGCAGGCCUAACACAUGCAAGUCGAGCGGAUGAAGGGAGCUUGCUCCUGGCUUCAGCGGCGGACGGGUGAGUGAUGCCUAGGAAUCUGCCUGGUAGUGGGGGAUAACGUCCGGACACGGGCGCUAAUACCGCAUCCGUCCUGAGGGUGAACGUGGGGGAUCUUCGGACCUAACGCUAUCAGCUGAGCCUAGGUCGAAUUAGCUCGCUGGUAGGGUAAAGGCCUACCAAGGCGACGAUCCGUAGCUGGUCUGCGUGGGUGAUCGGCAACAGUGGAACAGAGACAAGGUCCAGACGCCUACGGGAGGCAGCAGGAGGGAAUCUUGAGCAAGGGGCGAAAGCAUGACGGAGCAACGCCGCGUGAGUGAUGAAGGUCUUCGGAUUGUAAAACUCUGUUAUUAGGGAAGAACAUAUGUGUAAGUAACUGUGCACAUCUUGACGGGACCUAAUCAGAAAGCCACGGCUAACUACGUG